AGUCCAUGGUGAGGACACCUUCUCAACAAAUCCUUAAAUCUCUCCCAUGUAUCAUAAAGAGUCUCAAUAUCAAAUUGAACAAAAGGAGAUAUAUCAUUCUUCAACUU
Molecule: non-coding RNA, 107 nt
Organism: Gossypium hirsutum (cotton)
Lineage: Eukaryota; Viridiplantae; Streptophyta; Magnoliopsida; Malvales; Malvaceae
Source: Rfam